This 479-nucleotide transfer RNA is filed under the name Leptolyngbyaceae cyanobacterium GSE-UNK-08H. RNAcentral describes it as "16S-23S ribosomal RNA intergenic spacer". The stretch from base 199 to 271 matches the Rfam family "tRNA". The record is from RNAcentral. Lineage: Bacteria; Bacillati; Cyanobacteriota; Cyanophyceae; Leptolyngbyales; Leptolyngbyaceae.
AAGGGAGACCUCCCGCUUAGGUUCAGAGUAAUGCUGGAGCUAAGACGGUCAACCUAAGGUCGGUCGAGGGAAAUAGUCAAGCGACUUUCAAACUAUCUAGGUGAUGAGGGAAAUGGGCUAUUAGCUCAGGUGGUUAGAGCGCACCCCUGAUAAGGGUGAGGUCCCUGGUUCGAGUCCAGGAUGGCCCACCUUUGAAGAGGGGGUUUAGCUCAGUUGGUAGAGCGCCUGCUUUGCAAGCAGGAUGUCAACGGUUCGAGUCCGUUAACCUCCACUAGAGUUCAGCAUCUUAUUUCAAGUGUAUUAAAGACAAUUGAGAAAGCCUGCUGGAUUAAAUCCAGAUAGAACCUUGAAAACUGCAUAGUGACUUGUCAGGUAGAAGCAACGCUUAGCGAAUUAUUCUUAAUGUUUUUGUUAGGGAUGUAAUACGUCAAGUGUUGAUUCACAGAUACCAAUGUACAACUUGAGAAAGUUGAAAUUGU